This 906-nucleotide long non-coding RNA is filed under the name Numida meleagris (helmeted guineafowl). RNAcentral's name for it is "lncRNA (ENSNMEG00000002380.1)". The record is from RNAcentral. Lineage: Eukaryota; Metazoa; Chordata; Aves; Galliformes; Numididae.
UAUACAUAUAUACACGAGUUUAUAGUACCAAUAAAGACAAUGAAAAAAAGUUCUAAGAAGCUCCACUGCACAUCAGUUCCUCCAGACUGGGCCUUAGCACGUGUGCUUUAAGCAUCUGAUCUCGUUUGCAUUUGUUUUAGUUAUUAAAUUGAACCCCUCUAAGUAAAAACAACAACAACAACAACGAGCUGAAGUGUUAGCUGUCCUUUCUAAUUUCAACAAAUUAGUUGAGAAGCACUUUUGAAUUCCUAGAUUCUGUUCAAGCAGAAGAGCUGUAAGGAAAUCUCUUCAGCUUUAAAGAGAAGACUGAGUUCUUUGCCUCACUCUUUAUGGCCAUUCUUAACAGACCUUGUAUUGGUAUCGCAAGGAAUUUUCCCUUGAGCACUACUUUGGCAGGUAAACACAAAGUUUAACUUUUUUUUUUUAAAUACAAAGUAAGAUUAUGUGACAAUCAGUGUAUGCAUUUUAUACUGUUUGCCUUUUUCUUCAGAACACAAUCUCUCUCCCGUCCUAUUUGCCAAGUGACUAUUUUGAUUCUCAGGGAGCAGAAGAUAGAACAGGUCCUACGGAAGAAGGAAGUGAACCAGGAAGAACUCACUACUCCAGAAGUUGUCAGAGGAACUACUGGCAUCAUGGCUUGAUAAACAAUGACAAAAGGUGAACACCACAGGAAGCAAGCCUUUCAAAACCUCUCAAAUUUAAGGCAACUUUAUGAGGUAGGACAGCCACCCAGACCAAGCAGGAACAAGCAGUUUGGAAAAAUCAGGCUGUCUGCUCUGAUGGACAUGACUGCAUUGCUUCCACUUAAGUCCCAUUUUAAGGAUAUCCAGGGAAGCACAAAAGGGACAGAAGGAUCUUAUAUUUCAUAGUUAAAUAAAAUUUGAGUUUUGAUUAGAUGAGAGAACA